UGAGACCGGGUGUGGCUCGUAAGGGUGAAAGGUACAGGGUUGAGUUGGCAGUGGACGUUGCUUUCUGACAGACUGGCAGCGAUUUGAUUCUACAUUGUGGGGAAAAGGGAACGUCAUUGGCCGACUAUUUGUUACUCUGAAGCGCUCUGUUCUUUCAGUUUAUCGUGAGCUUUCUCUUCCAAGUUAGAAGAAACAUGCUGCUCUGUUGUUUUCUCAGGUCCUGGUAUAACCUGCCUGACAACUCCAACUCCUUUAUAACAAUAAACCUCUUUAGACUGA
Molecule: long non-coding RNA, 279 nt
Organism: Xenopus tropicalis (tropical clawed frog)
Lineage: Eukaryota; Metazoa; Chordata; Amphibia; Anura; Pipidae
Exons: 2
Source: RefSeq, a predicted model, not a curated record